AUUGGACGCUGGCGGCAGGCCUAACACAUGCAAGUCGAGCGGAUGAAGGGAGCUUGCUCCUGGAUUCAGCGGCGGACGGGUGAGUAAUGCCUAGGAAUCUGCCUGGUAGUGGGGGAUAACGUCCGGAAACGGGCGCUAAUACCGCAUACGUCCUGAGGGAGAAAGUGGGGGAUCUUCGGACCUCACGCUAUCAGAUGAGCCUAGGUCGGAUUAGCUAGUUGGUGGGGUAAAGGCCUACCAAGGCGACGAUCCGUAACUGGUCUGAGAGGAUGAUCAGUCACACUGGAACUGAGACACGGUCCAGACUCCUACGGGAGGCAGCAGUGGGGAAUAUUGGACAAUGGGCGAAAGCCUGAUCCAGCCAUGCCGCGUGUGUGAAGAAGGUCUUCGGAUUGUAAAGCACUUUAAGUUGGGAGGAAGGGCAGUAAGUUAAUACCUUGCUGUUCUGACGUUACCAACAGAAUAAGCACCGGCUAACUUCGUG
This 484-nucleotide ribosomal RNA is filed under the name uncultured bacterium. RNAcentral's name for it is "partial 16S ribosomal RNA". It matches the Rfam family "Bacterial small subunit ribosomal RNA", at positions 30 to 507 of the family's 1533-position model. The record is from RNAcentral.